AAAGCAUGGUGAGGGCAUUUUCUUAGUAUUUUCUUAUAUCCAUCCCAAAUCUUAUAAAUGGAUUUUCCUUCAAACUGAGUAAAAUAAGUUAUAACAUUUCUAUGUUU
Molecule: small nucleolar RNA, 107 nt
Organism: Dendrobium catenatum
Lineage: Eukaryota; Viridiplantae; Streptophyta; Magnoliopsida; Asparagales; Orchidaceae
Source: RefSeq, a predicted model, not a curated record